This is a long non-coding RNA of Scophthalmus maximus (turbot), 2727 nucleotides long. RefSeq lists it as uncharacterized. The record is from RefSeq and is a predicted model, not a curated record. The transcript has 3 exons. NCBI's taxonomy places the organism in Eukaryota, Metazoa, Chordata, Actinopteri, Pleuronectiformes, Scophthalmidae.
GGGGGGUCUGGAAUUAAAAGUAUUCUUUGUCCGUAAUUAGUGUUUUCUAAGUAGUUUUUCUGAUUAGUGUCAUAACUUUUUCUUUUUUUAAUGGCUCAAUACACUGGUUGAGAGACUUAACUAGUUCCCCGAGGGCCCAACUGGUUCCCUGAGGGCCCCUCUCACCCCUACAAAAAGGCGCAAAAUGGUUUAGUCCGCCCAUCGCGACUCAGCAUUGAGGUGGUCCCAGAGUUUUGGUGCUACACCCCUGACCGUGCGUUUCCUGCCGAGACAUAUCAAAGUCUGUGGGUGUUUAUAAACAUGUCUAAUAGUUUAGAUGAUAAAAUAAAAUAAUUACAAUGGUAACUAGAAUAUGAAUUGUAGUAUAUAGUGCAUAUUUUGGACACUUUUCAUGUACGUUUAGGCAGUGAAAACUAAAAUAUCCCAAUAGAAGAUUAAAGCUCCAAGCGGCUUUGAUCAGGGCCCUCGCACACAUGUGCACGUUUGACAUGCAAGUCAGAGGAACGUCCCAUGUCGUGGAGCAUCAUCAUGUGGCUAUGAUCAGGAGGAACUUCCUGUUCCAUGGCGAAGGCCUCGAAAAUCACCCCGUCUUCUCCACGUCGUCACAGGAAGGGGCUCUGACGAAAACUCAAGCUUUGAGAGAACGAUUUUCUUUUCCCUAGAUUUUCCCUUUUCCCUAGAUUUCAAAUGGGUCUUGAGAUGACACACCAAAAUUUGAGGUUGCUGGUGUGAAGUCUGUCGGAGGAGUUCUUUAAAGUUCCUGCAGACUGAGGACAUAAAAUCAACCAGUGUUGGACCUGGCACAGCAUUUUCUAUUGAACCCAGGCUGUCUGAUGACCUGAUGACCUACAUGAUAUUACGUAUUGAAUACGUAAUAAUAAAGUUGAGCAAAGUGGCGACAUCAGCUGUAGCUUCAAAUAAACACCACAAGGGGGAAGUGUGUGUUCAGACAAUAUUUCUGAAAGCUGUAUGUGGUCAGAUAGGGAAUCUGUGGGGUGAGGGAGUAUUUCCCUUUCCCUAGAUUUCAAAAUGGUAACUAGAUGAGUAAACUCUCCAUCUGAGCUGCAUGAGAUGCAUUGUGGGUAAUGUAGUGGUGUCACUGGCAUUAGAUAUAAAUCAACCACCACUCAAAUUAUAAUUAUAUUCCAUCUUGGUAAACCAAAAUAAAUGUCAAGAAUAAAAGUCACAUAGAUUUUUACAUAUUAGAGAAUCAUAAAGAUUAUGUUUAUAUAUGUAUAUAUUAUAUUAUAAUUAUUAUAAUAUUUAUAUAUAUAUAUAUAUAUAUAUAUAUAUAUAUUUUUUUUUUUACAGUUUUCACAUUAUGAACAUGUUCCUUUGUGAAGAGCUUGAGCAGUGUGAGAUACGAUAUGUUCCUUCCAGCACAUACCAAUGUUUAAACAUUUACCUUGCGGGCCGUCCUGGCUCACUUCCCUGUAAUUCAAAACAAUGCGCAGGAUGCAAUGGCCGGCACGGCAACCAUUGACACUUCCUGACGCUUCCUGCUGAUGUGUCUGUACAAGAAAGGAAACAUUUAACGUUAGCUUCACUGCAAAACCUCCCAUUAGAGACUUCAACAAAGUCUGGCCUGUGUAACGGUUUUUCUUCUCAUUCUCUCACGCAGUGCCACCCAUCAUCUUUGAUCUCCCGCAGCUUUUUCUGUUGCCUUCCUGUCUUUUCAGAAUUGCUGCAACAAAGCUGAGAGUCGGUUAUCGACUGGUAUGGGGUUUAGAAAAACAAAACAUCACCUGUUCACCUUGAGUUUGUGUCCGUGGGGACAUUCAGGUGUGAUUAAUGGCCCAUUGUAAAGUCAGAAUUAAAGCACUGGGAGUACAAUGGUCUGUCCCUUCAAAAGAACAACUGGCAACUGCCCAGUGUUUGUUAACUGAAGAGUGUUAAGUUAUAUUUAAGAUGUAUUAGAAAUGGAGGUUUUGAAUUAUGCACCUGAACUUUGCAGUGCAGAGGAGUAGAAACAGGUUGUUUGUAUUAAUGGAUAUAGCUUUCCUCAAUUUUUUAGUGUAUAUUUCUGCUAUAUUUAGUGACAUUUCUACCUCUUUCCUGAUGCCUUGACUCUUGCUGCUGCUGUAACAAGUAGAUUUCCCCGGCGUGAGAUUAAUAAAGUCCCGUAUUAUCUUUUCUCAUUGUUGGAUUUUCCAAUCGAACCUUUCUUUUUUUAAUCAUUAACCAAAAGAGGACACUGAUUCAGUUUUAAAAAGCCUUUAUGUUAAGGUAAUACAGUCAUAUUCUAAAAGAGGAAAUUCAGAGGACGUGUAUCGCCUGUCAAAGAUGAAGUGAUACUGGCGUUGGUCGGACCAGAUGCAGCUGAUGGGGAAGUGAGGUAUUACUAAAGAGAGUCUGAACAUAAGAAACCUGUUGACCAAAGAUAUAAAGAUUUAUGUGCAUUUAAGUGAACAGAGGACGAUGUUUCAUGGGGGAAAAAAGGGAGACAAAGGUGCCACCAAAAGAUGAUCCACACAGACAUCCGUCUAUGUUGGCAUACUAUAAUUCACUAUUACAGAACAGCAACUCUGACAGGGAUUGUUUGUGAGUCUGCACACACAGUCCCAGUGUGGGCAGACGCCUCCCAGUCGAAGACAUAAAUCCAGUGGCAGUAUCAAAGGUCCUGGUACGAACUGCAUGUCUUUGUAGGUGCGUCAGGAAAUGAGAAAGUUGAAUGUAAGGUCACUUGUGUAUGUGUGUGUGUGACCUGCCAUUAUGAUUAAAAGUUCA